GGGGCGGUGAGGUCAGCGGCGGCGGCGCGUCCGCGGGCGGCGGGAGCUGCGCAUGCGCGGAGCGACGCCCGUGAGUGGCAGUGGCGGCGCGCGGGGAGCGGGCGGGGGCCGUCGAGGCGGCGGUGUGUGGGCGCAACGGCUGCGAGUUGGAGAGGGAACAACACUACAGUCGCCCGUAGUUUUGUUUCUGUUCAGUCUCCAUCGUGGCAUGCCACACUCUCCUGGUUUGGGCCCUGCUCAUUUCUUUACUGCCUUCCUGCCUGCCCUUUUUGUGCAGGUAGGUCAUCCCAUUCAUGCUCAGCCCUCCUCGCUGUCUACACUGUCUUCUUGGGCAAUCGUAUCCAGUCCCAAGCCUUUUAAAAAAACAAUCUAUACCCAUCCUGGUGGAAUUCCUGCCUAUAAAAGGGCACACCUUCAGACCUCCAGGCAUGUCCAGCGAACACUGCUAUGCACACGGAACCAAAUUCAGUUGUGUGGGACCUGCAGCUGCAAUUGA
RNAcentral lists this long non-coding RNA (496 nucleotides) under Pan troglodytes (chimpanzee). RNAcentral's name for it is "lncRNA (ENSPTRG00000053388.1)". Lineage: Eukaryota; Metazoa; Chordata; Mammalia; Primates; Hominidae. The record is from RNAcentral.